CCUACGGGAGGCAGCAGUAGGGAAUAUUGGGCAAUGGGCGAAAGCCUGACCCAGCCACGCCGCGUGCAGGAAGACGGCCCUCUGGGUUGUAAACUGCUUUUAACUGGGAAGAAAGAAGCCCAUGCGUGGGAAGUUGACGGUACCAGUUGAAUAAGCCACGGCUAACUACGUGCCAGCAGCCGCGGUAAUACGUAGGUGGCAAGCGUUAUCCGGAUUUAUUGGGUUUAAAGGGUGCGUAGGCGGUUCAAUAAGUCAGUGGUUAAAGGUAGCAGCUUAACUGUUUUACAUGCCACUGAUACUGCUGAACUUGAGUUGACAGAAGGCAGAUAGAAUUUCUGGUGUAGCGGUGAAAUGCUUAGAUACCAGAAGGAAUACCGAUUGCGAAGGCAGUCUGCUGCAGUCACACUGACGCUGAGGCACGAAAGUGCGGGGAUCAAACAGGAUUAGAUACCCUGGUAGUCCGCACAGUAAACGAUGAUUACUAGAUGUUGGUGCGNGCAGUGUCAGGAACGAGUAGUAGUACACGNGGAGACGCGGCGACGUAGAACCGAAACGAAGUUAGAGCGNGNGACGNGCGACGGACGACGACGAGGGAGGAGG
RNAcentral lists this ribosomal RNA (600 nucleotides) under uncultured bacterium. Its description in RNAcentral is "bacterial SSU rRNA". The stretch from base 1 to 526 matches the Rfam family "Bacterial small subunit ribosomal RNA", at positions 338 to 873 of the family's 1533-position model. The record is from RNAcentral.